GGGGGGGUUGGGGAGAGCACAGUAAACUUUUUACUUGUUAUCUAUUGACUAAAAGAUAACAAACACUAGUUUUUAAUUUAUAUUACAGUCUCCAUAGUUAACGUUUUAAGUAUCUGAAUUCAAAAUAAAGUACAGAAUGAUAUUGGUAAUAUUCACAUCUUUCAAGAAACACUAAUGGCAAAUAUUUAAGUACAUGAGAAGGAAAAGCUCUCUUCAUAUAGUGGUUUGAAUAUCAUAUAUAAUGGCAACUUUAUGUUCAAUUCCUUCUAUAGCAAACUAUUAACAUUAUUUAAUUAACAAAUGUUUUUGGGUGUGACUGAAAGAAAAAGUAUCCCUAUUGUGGCAACAACAUAAACAUGAUUAAAGAACAUAAAUUAGGGAAUAGAGAACUCAGUGUUUUUAUGUCAUGUUCUGUACAAAACAUUUUAAGUACUAGAUAGAGAGGUAGAAGAGUUGGUGAGUAGAGGCGAGAUCAUUUUCUUUCCUAUGCAAAGCCCCAAGCAAAACUCUAAAGUAGGCAAAGUCUUGGGUACUGAGUCUCACCGUUUUUUCUGCAAUAGCAGUUCUAUUCUGCUUUAAGCUUUAGUCCUGUAUCUCUGUAUUUGUUUAAAAGGUAUAGAGAAAAAUGAAAAUAAUUACUAAAAUGUAAUCACUGAAAAUUGAUGUUUUUCAGUUCCUGUAUUCUUAAAUAUUAUUUUAAAAAUAGCUAACUAUGUUUUCAUCAAUAUCCUUUAAAAUUGGUUCAACUCAGACUUCCUAAGUGUUGCUGAUCUAUGAAACCACUAAAAAAAGCAGAACAAAAACAAUACAAAACGACUCUAAUACAACUCACUAGCACAAGAAUUUACCAUAAUUCCACUAUUGUAAUUACAGCUAGAGUUUGAAACCGAGAAAAUUUACAAGCAUUAAGAAUAUUAUUUCAUUUGGAUGACACAGGAUAGUUAACAUAAAUCCUGUAUUUUAGAGAGAUGCUCUCAUGAUCAAUACCAGAUUAUGUUGAUACUUGCUGAUGCUGAGCUAGGCAUAGGGAGCAAAGAGUUUACAUUUCCUUCUACUCAAGACUACUAGCACCAAUGAACUUUUUAUGAAUUGAUGAAUGAAAUAACAUAAUCUCUACAAUUUCAUGGAGGGGGGCACUCAAAUUAACUAUAAAAUUACUGAGGCUACCCAAAACUUAAAGCAAAGGAAAAUUUUUGAAAAUUUAUUAUUCUAAUUUUAAAAAUAAGCACUGCUGCUUUAAGUGACCAGCAGCCUCACAUCAACUCCAGGCUGCAAUCACAACAUCCAUUAGAGUGCUCCACAGCUCAGAGCAAGCAAGCAAGUGGUUGUCAGUGCAGCUAGUAAAUCACCUGAUCCUAUUACAAAAUCAAUUACUGCAGUGCAUUUCCAUUGCUACACAAUCUGAUGAUGACAAAAUGAUAUUGGAUAGCUACUGCAAGGUCAAGAAAACUGCUAAGAACAUCUUUAAUUGGUCUUUUAUUUUUAAUCAUUUGGUCCUAGUUAUAAGGCAUCCAUUUUAAUUGUAUAUUUUUAUUUGAAAUAAAUCUAUGUAGUUACCUUUGGUUGCCUGGGACAUUCGAUGGAUAAUCUCUGCAACUGGUCUGAGGUAUGGCUACAAGAGAACAGAUCGGAGCAGCAGGUCGAACGGCUCAACCUCUUCAUUAAAGAAGAAAUAAUGCUGCAGCCACAGCCACACAUUGACUUGUUCAUUAGAUGAGAACUUAACUUUAAAAAUCAGAACUGGUAAUGUCCCAUAUAUACUCAAAAUUGGCUAACUGCCUCAUUCUGCAGCUCUCUGGCUGAAAGAAACACUGCUAAAAAAGAAUAAAACAUCAGCUUCUCUAAAGAAGAUACCAGACACAAACUCAUCGCCAAGAAAAAGUCGAUAUCAAAAACAGAAGUCUCCCAGCUACUCUUUAGAAAUAAGGUAAGGUGCUUUAAUAUUUCAUACUGUUUUCUAUUAAAGCCCAAGUACUUAACAAAGGAGCAAACUCGAGAUAGUAUACCCCAAAAUUAUACUAACCACUCUUUCUGUCCUCCAUCAGUUUAGAUCUGUUUGCCUACUCCUUCAGCUCAGCCUAUCCAACCUGUUCCCUCUGUAAAUGCACACUAUUUCAACAACCAACUGGAAUGAGCCCCACCCCUCCCUGUCUCCACACACACUGUUCAAGAACCGCUCAAUAUCUGGAAAAGAACGGCUGCUGCAUUGCUUUGAGAAACAACAGGGAGCAAAUUACUGGACGGAUUCUUUAACUUACCAAUCAGAACUCCUGACCUUUUAUGACUCCACGAUUCAAGAAGCCUGCCAAACACUCACAGUAAGAAUAAUCUACUGAUUUUACUUCUAUGCUAUGGAUUUACAGAACUGUUUUCUACCUUAUUAUUUAAUCUAAAAUACAAAAACAUAGAUAGGUGUAUGUGUUUUCUAAAACAAAAUUUAGACAGUAGCUGAUAAAAAUCUUUGAGUAUUGCUGGAAGAGGACAGGGCAGUGGUUGAUAUGAGAAGUAAAAAACUCCCUCUGAAUCUGUAUUUAAACUUGAGAAAUACAGAGUGGAAGAAUUCUAUAGGAAAACUAGGGGUGUAGGUAAUGAUGGAACAAAUAAGCAAUGUAAUCCAAGGAGAUCCCUGCUAUCAUAAAUGUUAGAAGAGUUCUAAUAAGCUGAGUGAAGUAAGUCAGUCGGAGAAGGACAAACAUUAUAUGUUCUCAUUCAUUUGGGGAAUAUAAAUAAUAGUGAAAGGGAAAAUAAGGGAAGGGAGAAGAAAUGUGUGGGAAAUAUCAGAAAGGGAGACAGAACGUAAAGACUGCUAACUCUGGGAAACGAACUAGGGGUGGUAGAAGGGGAGGAGGGCGGGGGGUGGGAGUGAAUGGGUGACGGGCACUGGGUGUUAUUCUGUAUGUUAGUAAAUUGAACACCAAUAAAAAAAUAAAAAUAAAAAAAUAAAAAAAAAAAAAAUAAAUAAAAAAAAA
This 2969-nucleotide long non-coding RNA is filed under the name Canis lupus familiaris (dog). RNAcentral's name for it is "lncRNA (ENSCAFG00845007328.1)". Lineage: Eukaryota; Metazoa; Chordata; Mammalia; Carnivora; Canidae. The record is from RNAcentral.